CUGAGUGGACUGGUUUAUACUGGGACAGAGAGGCUGAGUGGACUGGUUUAUACUGGGACAGAGAGGCUAAGUGGACUGGUGCUUUGAGACUGACCGAGCAGAGACCAUGAACCUGGAGCAGAUAGUGGAGGAGAACCUGACGGUGUUCAAGGCUCAGUUCUUCAUUAAAGAGAGGCUGAGUGGACUGGUGCUCUGAGAAUGACCGAGCAGAGUCGUUGAACCUGGAGCAGAUUGUGGAGGAGGAGGACCUGACGGUGUUCAAGGCUCACAGAGAGCUCUUCAUAUGGAUGCACGUUUCUCCGCCUGCUGUGAAGUUACAGACCACUUUGAUGGCAUCUCCUAUGCAGCCCUGGUUUGGAUCAAUCCAGUAUUCACCUGAGAGAUAAACAGCCAUGAGAUGGAGCCAAGGCAAGGUCGGGCUGGCUGAGGUGCAGGUCGUUGCAGGUCCUGGCAGGAUUGUCUUGGGUACCCAUGGGGAACUUUAUGCGCUCAAUGUCUUGUUUGAGGUUGUUGAGGGAUCCAAAGACAUCCUCCAUUCCCUCCAUACCGACGCCAUCUACGCCGUAGUCUGGCAAUGCCUCGUCUCCCUGCAUCUCAGCAUGGCGCCUGGUCUUUCUGGACAUCUGGAUGGGCAGCGGCUGGAUGAAGUCUCCGGGUGGACCCUGCAACACGGAGGUUAAGCUUCACCCUUGCCUCCUCCAGUACCCUGAGGUCCAGGCAAUCCUCGGUCUCCCUUCUCUCCGGGCUCACCGGGAGGUCCAAUCAGACCGAUAAGACCCGGAUGACCCUGGAGAAGGCAGAGAAGAAAAUAAAGAACAAAAAGUGAGACAAAAGCAUCGGAAUAACUCGUUACAUUACUCAUUCAAUAUUUAUUCCAGCAUAGUUGCACUCUGCACCAUUGCACUGUUGUAUUAUUGUUUACAAUUUACAGAAACAGUCUGACUCAUACAUUGUAUGUUGUUCCCUGGUGUAUUGCAUUUUUUUAAUAUUUAUUUAUCUUCUUUCACCUACGUGUAUGUUCACUCUUGUUCAGCUUUGUUUGCAUCCGUGUUUCUAUUUCUGUGUAUGUACAAUGAAAGCAACAGAAACCUGGAGCCAAAUUCCUGGUAUGUGUACUCAUACCUGACCAAUAAACGGAUUCUGAUUUA
Molecule: long non-coding RNA, 1148 nt
Organism: Sebastes umbrosus (honeycomb rockfish)
Lineage: Eukaryota; Metazoa; Chordata; Actinopteri; Perciformes; Sebastidae
Exons: 5
Source: RefSeq, a predicted model, not a curated record